RNAcentral lists this ribosomal RNA (455 nucleotides) under uncultured soil bacterium. Its description in RNAcentral is "bacterial SSU rRNA". It matches the Rfam family "Bacterial small subunit ribosomal RNA", at positions 26 to 460 of the family's 1533-position model. The record is from RNAcentral.
AGAGCGAACGUUAGCGGCGGGCCUAACACAUGCAAGUCGAACGAGAAUGAGGGCUUCGGCUCUCUAGUAAAGUGGCGGACGGGUGCGUAACACGUAGGUAAUCUACCUUCCGGCGGGGGACAACAGUCCGAAAGGAUUGCUAAUACCGCGUACGUCGGCAGAGUCCUCGGACUUUGUCGGGAAAGAUGGCCUCUCCUUGGAAGCUGUCACCGGAAGAUGAACCUGCGGCCAUCAGCUUGUUGGUGAGGUAACGGCUCACCAAGGCGAAGACGGGUAGCUGGUCUGAGGGGAUGAUCAGCCACACUGGGACUGCGACACGGCCCAGACUCCUACGGGAGCAGCAGUGGGGAAUAUUGGGCAAUGGGCGAAAGCCUGACCCAGCCACGCCGCGUGAGUCGAUGGAAAGGCCUUGGGUCGUAAAAGCUCCGUGGUGGGAGGGACGAAUAACGUCUGGU